This 253-nucleotide ribosomal RNA is filed under the name uncultured bacterium. RNAcentral describes it as "partial 16S ribosomal RNA". It matches the Rfam family "Bacterial small subunit ribosomal RNA", at positions 524 to 776 of the family's 1533-position model. The record is from RNAcentral.
UACAGAGGUCUCAAGCGUUGUUCGGAUUCAUUGGGCGUAAAGGGUGCGUAGGCGGCGCGGUAAGUCGGGUGUGAAAUCUCGGAGCUUAACUCCGAAACUGCAUUCGAUACUGCCGUGCUUGAGGACUUGAGAGGAGACUGGAAUUUACGGUGUAGCGGUGAAAUGGGUAGAUAUCGUAAGGAAGACCAGUGGCGAAGGCGGGUCUCUGGACAGUUCCUGACGCUGAGGCACGAAGGUCAGGGGAGCAAACGGG